Molecule: ribosomal RNA, 253 nt
Filed under: uncultured bacterium
Lineage: Bacteria
Description: partial 16S ribosomal RNA
Rfam family: Bacterial small subunit ribosomal RNA
Source: RNAcentral
UACGUAGGGGGCUAGCGUUGUCCGGAAUCAUUGGGCGUAAAGCGCGUGUAGGCGGUCCGGUAAGUCCGCUGUGAAAGUCGGGGGCUCAACCCUCGGAUGCCGGUGGAUACUGUCGGACUUGAGUACGGGAGAGGCGAGUGGAAUUCCUGGUGUAGCGGUGAAAUGCGCAGAUAUCAGGAGGAACACCAAUUGCGAAGGCAGCUCGCUGGAACGUUACUGACGCUGAGACGCGAAAGCGUGGGGAGCAAACAGG